Molecule: ribosomal RNA, 98 nt
Filed under: uncultured bacterium
Lineage: Bacteria
Description: partial 16S ribosomal RNA
Source: RNAcentral
CGGGUUGUAAAGCACUUUAGGUGGGGAAGAAGGGUGUUAUUUGAAUAGAGUGACACAUUGACGUUACCCACCAGAAUAAGCACCGGCUAACUCUGUGC